ACCCAGCACGUCGUCUUCAGCCAUCAUUGCGUCAGUACGUCUCGCGUGUUUUGUGUCAGAAAUCUAACAAAGAAAGCCAUCAAGAUGCCCCAGAAGCACUACGCUGUUGCCAAUGGACGUAAUCCUGGUGUUUGACAACUGGGAUGAUGCAAAGGCUCAGGUCAAUGGGUAUUCUCACAAUCACCACAAGAGCUUCCCAAGUCAGGAGGCUGCUGCAGACUGGGUCGCUCAGAAUGGCGGUGGCUCUUCCUCAAGAGGGUAUGCGCGUGUUGACAUCUACCACAGGAGCCAGGGAUCCAACAACGGUUCAGGUGGACGCAAGUAAACUUCCAGGAUGUCUUCUCGACUGUAAAUGGAGUGAUCCGCAAGCUGGUAUUGAUACAGUGGUUUAAAUAAUUGAAAAAAUUAAGGACACGAAUAAAAAAAAAUACAUUAAAAGAUUGUGCCUUCAGCAAUUGUUGAAAGUAUUCAUAUCCUUAAUUGUUAUAGGAAACAACAUUAAGUCUCAACACUUUAAAAUGAGCAUUCGUUUUAAAAAAAUGUACGCGUAUAUUAUUUUGCUCAUUGCAAUUAUUCAAAAAUAAUCGAGUGAACAAUGACAUGUCAGUAAAACAACCACUCAGCCCUCGUUUACAGUCUUCAUCUAUCUUUAUAUGUGUGUUUCUACUUUUCAUAUAUCUGUACACAUUUUUGGAAAAGUUUGCAUCCUCGGGCGAUAAUGCUAAUCCAUUGUAGUUAAUAAAAGACCUGUGUGUACAUUAA
Diachasma alloeum is the source of this 762-nucleotide long non-coding RNA. RefSeq lists it as uncharacterized. The record is from RefSeq and is a predicted model, not a curated record. Lineage: Eukaryota; Metazoa; Arthropoda; Insecta; Hymenoptera; Braconidae. The transcript has 4 exons.